UACGUAGGGUGCGAGCGUUAAUCGGAAUUACUGGGCGUAAAGCGUGCGCAGGCGGUUUGUUAAGACAGAUGUGAAAUCCCCGGGCUUAACCUGGGAACUGCAUUUGUGACUGGCAAGCUAGAGUAUGGCAGAGGGGGGUAGAAUUCCACGUGUGAGCAGUGAAAUGCGUAGAGAUGUGGAGGAAUACCGAUGGCGAAGGCAGCCCCCUGGGCCAAUACUGACGCUCA
This 227-nucleotide ribosomal RNA is filed under the name uncultured bacterium. Its description in RNAcentral is "partial 16S ribosomal RNA". It matches the Rfam family "Bacterial small subunit ribosomal RNA", at positions 524 to 749 of the family's 1533-position model. The record is from RNAcentral.